Molecule: ribosomal RNA, 429 nt
Filed under: Bacteroidota bacterium
Lineage: Bacteria; Pseudomonadati; Bacteroidota
Description: Bacteroidetes bacterium partial 16S ribosomal RNA
Rfam family: Bacterial small subunit ribosomal RNA
Source: RNAcentral
UAGGGAAUCUUCGGCAAUGGGGGGAACCCUGACCGAGCAACGCCGCGUGAGUGAAGAAGGUUUUCGGAUCGUAAAGCUCUGUUGUUAAGGAAGAACGAGUGUGAGAAUGGAAAGUUCAUACUGUGACGGUACUUAACCAGAAAGGGACGGCUAACUACGUGCCAGCAGCCGCGGUAAUACGUAGGUCCCGAGCGUUGUCCGGAUUUAUUGGGCGUAAAGCGAGCGCAGGCGGUUAGAUAAGUCUGAAGUUAAAGGCAGUGGCUCAACCAUUGUAGGCUUUGGUAACUGUUUAACUUGAGUGCAGAAGGGGAGAGUGGAAUUCCAUGUGUAACGGUGAAAUGCGUAGAUAUAUGGAGGAACACCAGUGGCGAAGGCGACUCUCUGGUCUGUAACUGACGCUGAGGCUCGAAAGCGUGGGUAGCAAACAGG